RNAcentral lists this small RNA (2074 nucleotides) under Rattus norvegicus (Norway rat). Its description in RNAcentral is "uncharacterized LOC102552389". Lineage: Eukaryota; Metazoa; Chordata; Mammalia; Rodentia; Muridae. The record is from RNAcentral.
GAGGAGGAGAGAAGGGAACAGGAGGGGACUGGAGCGGGGGUUGGAGGAGAGAAAAGAAAAGAAUGAACAACGCAGCUACUCAUUUCCGGUUCUCGGAACUUGGGACCGCUGGUACUGGCCUGAGAGGAGGUAGGUGAGUUGAAUUUCGGACUUGUCUCUGCUAUGGCUUAAGCUGUGUUGAGUUCUGUGCGCACUAGGGGGCCACCACUGCGGUGGCUAAAGUAGCUGGUAGGGCGCCCAGCUGCCUUGGGGACGGGACUAAGUAAGCAACCACAGCAGGUGGAGGUCUUCCAAGCGCAGCUUAGGCUGCUGAGGGAUGUGCUUAGCGAGGAGCUCGCAGAAGUUUCAACUAUAACAUUUCUAUAACAGUGACAGCAGCCUAGAGGAUGCCCUGACCCCACUGCGGACACAGGCCGCCAGACUCCAGGGUUGUUCUCAGCUAGUGAGAUCAGCUCCCAGCAACCCAGAGCUGAGUUGAUUUUCCGCCGUGCGUUCACUUCCCGAUUCCUGCUACCCAUUCUGGGUCCCACCCUUCCAUUCCACUCUCCAUAACUGCCUCCCGGAGUUGCUUCUCAUCCCGGGGUUAUGACAGGUUAAAUUUGGAGUCCUUGGCUUAUGGCUGGGGUUACUUCCCUGUUCUUUUCUCGGGCCCUCAAGGUAGCUCAGUUACAAACAGUAGAUCCUUUCUGUGAAUGGCACACAGCAUCUGAAUCAUACAGAGGGAUUCCUGCCUUCUGCUGACCUGUCACUGAGGUAUCAUUGUCUUACCAAAGCUCACACGUAGUUUUGAGGCUUGUGAGCUUGCUAUGAGGGAGGCCCAGAGCCACCUGGUCAGCUUUCUGCGGGCAUGGAGACAUAUUCCUCUUCUCUGUCCACGAGUGCUAUGGUUUGAACAUUCUUUCUCAUCACCAGAGUUCACACGGAAAGCCCCAGUGUGGGAGUGUUGAGAUGCCCUCAGACCUUUAAGAGAUUAGAACUCUCAGCUACCUCUCUGCCUGUCUGCAUGCCAACAGGUCUCCCACCGUGAUGAUAAGGAACUAAACCAUUGUGAGCCAGCUCCAAAUUACAUGCUUUCCUAUAUAAGAGUUGCGUGGUCAUGGUGUCUCUUCACAGCAAUAGAUCAUUGACUAAGGCUGGUGGUGGCGGCAGCAGCAGAAGCAGCAGCAGCAUGUGGAGGCAGAGGCAGGAGAAUGAAUCUCUGAGAUCAAGACCAGUCUGGCAGUGCUACGCAGAGAACCCCUGUCUGAAAAGAAAAGAAAAAAGUUAAAACAAACAAACAAACUCCCAAACGAACAAUUAAGACAGUACUCAGUUCAAAUGUUCCAUCGCGGCAACAGAAAUCAGACUUAGACGGUAAGAUGUUCUUAUCUCCCUUUUCAGCUCAGAUGUAACCCCAUCUCACAGGCUUGCUGUUCUCGUUGUGUUCAGCUGGCCGUGGUGCUCCGUUGACGAUCCUCAGGAGCUCGAUUCGGUAUCGCUCCGCUCUGUUUGUAAUAGAAGACUCAGAGACUUAACAGCUACCCACCAUGCCUGUUGCCAUCUUCCAAGAAUCCUCCUCGUUGACUUUAAUGAGAAGAAAUUCACAUGAAUGAACACACAUAUGCACACAUAGACAGAAACAUAGACAGUUGGUUUAUGGAGUUCACCAGGCUCAAUACAAGCUUUAGGUGUUCAGGCCUCAGGGAUUCUUCGGUUUCUCUGCCAGUGACACUUGGGAUGUGUCCUACUGCCAAGAACCUUGGCUUAAAUCUUCUGGGCCUAACUCAAGUUAUCAGAGGCAAUCUGAAGACAUUUUCUGUCCUCAGUGUGCCAUGUGUUUUGAUCCUUGUAUCUGGGCAGGCAGGGCGCUCUAAAAUAGUGCUCAAUGGUUAAGAGCAUUUGUUACUCUUACACAGGACUUAGGUUUGGUUCCCAGCACCCAUGUGGUGGCUCACAACGGACUCCAGUUCCAACCAAUCCCAGUUCUACCAGCACCCACCCUCUCUACACCUCCUCCGGUACUAGGCACACACAUGGUGACUAAUACAUGCAGGCAAAACACUCAUACACAUAAAAUAAACAAACCUAAAAGAUU